Molecule: small nucleolar RNA, 214 nt
Organism: Chelydra serpentina (North American snapping turtle)
Lineage: Eukaryota; Metazoa; Chordata; Testudines; Chelydridae
Gene: U3
Rfam family: Small nucleolar RNA U3
About the family: Small nucleolar RNAs (snoRNAs) are involved in the processing and modification of rRNA in the nucleolus. There are two main classes of snoRNAs: the box C/D class, and the box H/ACA class.
Source: Ensembl
AAGGCUAUGCUUUCAGGGAUCAUUUCUCUAGUGGGUGACUGGAGAAGGGUGGUUGUAAAAGCCUGGUCUCGCUAACCACGAUGAGGAACUGUAGUGUUUCUUUCUGAGCAUGACGCUGGCGGAGAGCGCUGUUCUGCAGCAGUUGCUUUCUGUUGUGGAAGAGUGUCUUGCCCUUCUGGAGAGGAGCAGGGGGAAGAAACACAGUCUGAGUGGU